This 467-nucleotide ribosomal RNA is filed under the name uncultured bacterium. RNAcentral describes it as "partial 16S ribosomal RNA". It matches the Rfam family "Bacterial small subunit ribosomal RNA", at positions 28 to 507 of the family's 1533-position model. The record is from RNAcentral.
GACGAACGCUGGCGGCGUGCUUAACACAUGCAAGUCGAACGGAAAGGCCCUGCUUUUGUGGGGUGCUCGAGUGGCGAACGGGUGAGUAACACGUGAGUAACCUGCCCUUGACUUUGGAUAACUUCAGGAAACCGGGGCUAAUACCGGAUAGGAGCUCCUGCCGCCUGGUGGGGGUUGGAAAGUUUCGGCGGUUGGGGAUGGACUCGCGGCUUAUCAGCUUGUUGGUGGGGUAGUGGCUUACCAAGGCUUUGACGGGUAGCCGGCCUGAGAGGGUGACCGGCCACAUUGGGACUGAGAUACGGCCCAGACUCCUACGGGAGGCAGCAGUGGGGAAUAUUGCACAAUGGGCGGAAGCCUGAUGCAGCAACGCCGCGUGCGGGAUGACGGCCUUCGGGUUGUAAACCGCUUUCGCCUGUGACGAAGCGUGAGUGACGGUAAUGGGUAAAGAAGCACCGGCUAACUACGUG